Panicum virgatum (switchgrass) is the source of this 835-nucleotide long non-coding RNA. RefSeq lists it as uncharacterized. The record is from RefSeq and is a predicted model, not a curated record. NCBI's taxonomy places the organism in Eukaryota, Viridiplantae, Streptophyta, Magnoliopsida, Poales, Poaceae. The transcript has 2 exons.
CCCACAUGUAGCUUGCUCCCUCUCUCCCGUGCGUGCUCACCGUUGCCAAAUUGGCCACGGCGCCGCUCGCGCACACCACGACGCGUCGCACGACGCUUCUCCCCUGCUCACGCAAGAGCCGAGCCCCAGCCCUUUUCCCCUGCUGCCCAGAGCAGCCUCGCCGCCCGCCAUGGCUGCCGCCGGCCUUGCACGCCGCGCUCCCACCUCCGGUCUUCCUCCACCCAAGCCGGCCACCGAAAUAGCUUCUCCACCUCCCACUGAUUCUCCACGGCCCAACCCCGCUUGCCCAGCCACACCGGAACGCCGCCGCAGCGGCACAGUACCACUGCCGGCCGCCGGCCGCUGUGGAACCGCCACCACGGACCACCUCCUCGCGCUCCAAGGCCACCUACAGGUCCGCACCGAUCUCCUCUCGCUCCUCCACCCCUCCCUCGCCGCCAUCAAGCCCUCCCAUGGCCGGAAUCGCCGUUCCCCUUUCACCCCUCCCAUGUUUUCGCGACCAGGGACCCCAGACAGCAAUAGAAAGAAUUCCAGGGUGUUUUCUGCGAAGUCCAUGACUCAGGUACGAUAGAUGAACCAUAUGAAGGACGUGCUACUGGAGCCGAACCCGAAGACGAUGUUGGUGGACAUAUCCCGAAGAUGGAUGGAUGGAACCCGAUGUGCAUGACCAAAGGAAGAUGCUCGUCAAGCGAGUAUCAUCUAACUAACACUGACUUAGUGUUAAUCCCAGGCAAGUCCCGGUGCAUAUCCUAUUAUUUGAAAUUAUGACACCUAUAUAUGUAUUUAUUACUUGUGCAUUACGUUUCAGGAGUUGAGUGGAACCCUAGUUGCGUGA